GCAGCAUUGGAUUUUGGUGAUACUGUGUUUGGUUUUUCUGUUUCUAGCAUGUUGAAAAUAAGCAAAGCAAAACAAAAAACCCAAGCCCUAAACUUCUUGGGUCCUUAACCAGAAGAUACGAAGUAAACAGCCUUAAGUGCACUUUGGAACCUUGGUGUCUGUACCCUUUAAGUAAUACAAGCUCUGAGGCUGAACACUUAAGUGGAAUUCUAAAACAAAAGCAUGGUAUGACUGUCUUUGGAAAGAGGCAGCUCUUUUGAACUUCUCUGAAUGUGUAUUUCUCUAACUAUUAAAACUUAAUCUUUUUGCAUGUGGUUGUAGCAAGCAGAUCUUUUUAAGAAGUGGUCCUGAUGAUUUUUUUGGGUGAUUCUUCACAUUGUCUUAAUUUUUGUCUGGACUCCCUACUAAGUAGUUUGUGCUAGGAAAGCAUUGAAGCUUUGGAAAAUGGAUGUCGUUUAUUGAAAUGCCAUCUUUCUACAAACUGUUUGCAGAAGACCCAAAAGGAGCCUGGAUGCUGAUCACUGGCCCUUGGCUGCUGCUUUGCCGUGCACAUGAAUGAGCACUUUGUGUCCCAGCCCCGCUGAGGACAAUGGCAGCGCUGUGGGGAGGCUUCUGGAGCCGUUUAACCUCGUGUAUUGACAGGACAGGAAUUGACAGGACAUGGCAAUGAGAUGCUCUUCCCUCAGCUCCGGAUUUUUGCAAAUUCCUCUACUGCUGGCAGUUGUAACUUUCCAAUUAAAUUGAUCCUUGUCUGAACACCUUUCCAACAUCGUGAUGUUUCUGCUCUUGGAAGGAUCUCUGGUGGUUUAGAUGGACAAAGAUGAGACUGAGAUCAGUGCCCAGGAUUGCAAGAUUCAGUGUCAGGUCAGACUUCUCAGGAGCUGUGAAGGGUCAGAAAUGAGAGCUCUACCCAGAGACUGGCUGUGUCCUGCACAAUGCCCUGACCAUAAAUGUGAUUUAACAAGGAAGCUGCUGCUGAUGUGAAGCUAUUCAAGUGUUGAACCUCACAGAUAGUUAAGUAACCUCUUAAAUAAUUAGAUUGAUUUCAGGCAUAGUAAGUUAAUUGGUGUGUUGUGCUAAAUACUUUGCUAAAUAAUCCUGGGAUGUACCUCGAUCACCAUCUUAAAUGUUUCUGCAGGGGCUGGGGAAAAAAAAGAAGUCCAUAAUCUAUUUAUUAUAAUAAUGAUUUCCUCAAAUAAAAACUGAUAACAAAAGAACAACUGCUAAAUGAAAGCAUGGGUUUGUGUUGAACAAACAAGCUUGUGAUGUGUGAGUUCCAUCCCCAGCUCAGUGUUGGACCUGGGCAGAUCACUCAUUCUGUACACAUCUUUCUUUCCUGGAGUAAAAUACAGAUUAUGAUCCUUAAAUAUCGAGUGCUGUGAAGUUGUUAUUGAUCAUACAUUGCUUUGAAGAUUAAAAGUGCUUUGUUUUUUUGUUUAUCAUUUUA
This is a non-coding RNA of Sturnus vulgaris (Common starling), 1447 nucleotides long. The record is from RefSeq and is a predicted model, not a curated record. NCBI's taxonomy places the organism in Eukaryota, Metazoa, Chordata, Aves, Passeriformes, Sturnidae.